UUGUCCUCGCUACUCCUCUGUAUCCACACAACAGAAUCUCAUGAAACUUUGUAGUUAAUUAGGGCAUACUAUGCAGAUAUGCAUAUCCACAAAAAAUCUUUAUUAGUUCACUUUUGUAGCAGUUAUUAUUCUUUAGACUUAGAAUCUGGAUAUAGUUUGUUUGAACAGUGACAAUGUAUGGGUAUUAGAGAGCGUGCUGACAGGCUUUUUAAUAUUUCAGGUAUCCUGGCAGAAAGUACACAGGUUUACCUUUCUCAGAUUAUGGCUGUGAAAGUUCUGCUUUUGUACAAUUCAAAUCCUAACUUAA
RNAcentral lists this long non-coding RNA (307 nucleotides) under Mytilus galloprovincialis (Mediterranean mussel). The record is from RNAcentral. Lineage: Eukaryota; Metazoa; Mollusca; Bivalvia; Mytilida; Mytilidae.